AAAACCCUAGCUCCCUCUUCCGUUCCUCCCCGAACACCAAAACCCUCUCGCUAUAUCUCCGUGUAUAAGUAGGUGGCGAGUCGAUAGAAGUAUCAGCAGCACUAAUAUUUUGGGGGGGAUCGUUGGGUUGGGGUAGGGCUAGUCUUCUAGUCUUCUAGUUCUAUGAUUCAGUUCUAUCUUCCUUUUCUCCUUUUUCUGUAUUUUUAGGUAAAUCGAAAGCCUGUUGGAGCAUGUGAAUUUUCCUCCAUCCAUAUUGUUUGUGAUUUUAUUUUCUGCGUUUGGGCCUAUGAUUAAAUUUCAUUAAAACAUUGACAAGCAUAUGUCUGAAUUUAUGCUGUGUUGACAGAUCUAAUCUUCUCAAUGAGGCCCUCUACGUUUCUUCUGGUCUGUUUUUAUUUUGGGGUUUUCUUUUCGAGUGUGUGCUCUCUCUGUUCAUUUCAAGCAAAACUUUGGUUAACAUGAUGAUUAUUUUUUAUUUAUCAUCGUGAUUUUUUAAAAAAAUUCCGUUUGGAGUUUCCUUUUGUUUUCUCAAAAUGCUUUCUUUUUCUUUUUAAGAUGAACGUAAUAGAAGAAUGCCAAUGAUGAUUUACAGUGAUGAUGUUAUGUAUGAGAAAUCAGGGAUUACAACACCACUCUACUGCCUUCCUUCUGAGGCAAUACUACUUUAUUCUUACUCUAUUCCCUUUUUUUUCAUCUCUUUUUGUUUUUUGUUUUUUUAAAUUUUUUCAAGCUACGUUUUAGAUUCUCACUUUAGCUACGUUUAAGUUUGAUUCUUCAUUAACCAGAAGGUAUAACACAGGGCUACUUUUUCAAACUUGUUUUAGACAAGGAAUUAAUCGAGUCAUGGGAGAUUGUGAAGUCAGGUGAUGAUCAGAAGCAUAGUUCAAAUGAUAAAUCAUUUUUUAACGUGAUUAUAAAAUUUCUGAAGUCUUUCGCUCCUAUCUGAUGGCACUUCUGACUCCCAUGAAAUUAUUCCAUUUAGCUCUUUAAUUUUUUUUUCUUUUUUCUUUUCCUUCAUUAAUGGUUAAUCAAAAAGUAUCGUCGCUGUUUGUAGUAUUUCUUUGUUCUGGAAUAUUGCAGAAGAUUUUUUUUUUUUUGAGGGAAAGAGUUACAGAAGAUUCAACUUUUUCCCUCUUUUGGGGACAGUGAUGAAUGAAUCAUAUUGGUCUCGUUCGGCGUAAUGGUGUUCAAUGCGAAUACCUUGCCGACCAUCCUGAUAUAUCACCACCCAUAAACUGAGUCCCCCAACUCAAAAUUUGUAUUUUUGUUUUCUGAGUUCUUUAACAUUUUAAACCUUGAAAGCUCCUGAAUUUGUCUGCAAUACCAUGUUGCUGUCCGAGUCUAAUGGCCCCAAAUCGUGCAACUUUAAAGAGAAACUGUACAGAAUGCUAAAAAUAAUUUAGUGGCAGUUCAGCAAAAUAAAUGGAUGAGCUUGGUAUCAGAUAAUGGAAGUAUGCAAACGAAGAUGAUACGGAACAAUAGAUGCUGCAUAUGCUGUGUGAGGACAGACAUCAGGUUGGAAAAACGAAGUCGAUGAAAACCAUGGCAGAAACACAAGUAAAAGAACCAAAAAAAAAAGAGCGCUUCUCUCUCUCCUGGUUCUAAGGCCAUUAGAAAAGAAAACAAUCAAACCAAGAAAAAGGCCGAUGAUAUGGCAUAAUUUGGAUCUCACAAUUGGGUGAAAAAAAA
Molecule: long non-coding RNA, 1689 nt
Organism: Coffea eugenioides
Lineage: Eukaryota; Viridiplantae; Streptophyta; Magnoliopsida; Gentianales; Rubiaceae
Exons: 2
Source: RefSeq, a predicted model, not a curated record